This 380-nucleotide ribosomal RNA is filed under the name uncultured eukaryote. RNAcentral's name for it is "SSU rRNA". It matches the Rfam family "Eukaryotic small subunit ribosomal RNA", at positions 587 to 972 of the family's 1831-position model. The record is from RNAcentral.
AGCUCCAAUAGCGUAUAUUAAAGUUGUUGCGGUAAAAAAGCUCGUAGUUGGAUUUCUGUUGAGGGCGUCCGGUCCACACUACGUGUGCGCAUCUGGGUCGGCCUCGGCAUCCUUCCGGAAGACGGCUUCGCGCUUUGUUGCGUGAAACGGAGUUCGGAACUUUUACUUUGAGGAAAUUAGAGUGUUCACGGCAGGCUAUCGCCAGAAUACAUUAGCAUGGAAUAAUACUAUAGGAUCUCGAUUCUAUUUUGUUGGUUUCUAGAAUUGGGAUAAUGAUUAAUAGGGACAAUUGGGGGCAUUCGUAUCGACACGUCAGAGGUGGAAUUCUUGGAUUGUGUUGCGACGAACUACUGCGAAAGCAUUUGCCAAGGAUGUUUUCA